RNAcentral lists this ribosomal RNA (472 nucleotides) under uncultured bacterium. RNAcentral describes it as "SSU rRNA". It matches the Rfam family "Bacterial small subunit ribosomal RNA", at positions 26 to 518 of the family's 1533-position model. The record is from RNAcentral.
AGGACGAACGCUGGCGGCGUGCUUAACACAUGCAAGUCGAACGGAAAGGCCCUUCGGGGUACUCGAGUGGCGAACGGGUGAGUAACACGUGGGUGAUCUGCCCCGCACUUUGGGAUAAGCCUGGGAAACUGGGUCUAAUACCGAAUAGGACCAUGGCAUGCAUGUGCUGUGGUGGAAAGCUUUUGCGGUGUGGGAUGGGCCCGCGGCCUAUCAGCUUGUUGGUGGGGUUAAGGCCUACCAAGGCGACGACGGGUAGCCGGCCUGAGAGGGUGUCCGGCCACACUGGGACUGAGAUACGGCCCAGACUCCUACGGGAGGCAGCAGUGGGGAAUAUUGCACAAUGGGCGCAAGCCUGAUGCAGCGACGCCGCGUGGGGGAUGACGGCCUUCGGUUGUAACCCUUUCAGUAGGGACGAAGCGCAAGUGACGGUACCUACAGAAGAAGCACCGGCCAACUACGCGCCAGCAGCCGC